UAAGCAUCUUAAAUAUCUCCUGCAUCUUUAAUAAUGUGGAUAGGAAAGGCAUUACCAAGUUUUCAUGGAAGAGAAAGAAACUACAAUCUUGUUCGUCACACAGUUCAGUCAUGUCAUACGAGAGAUUUAACAUUCUAUCAUUAUGGACUAUUUCAGUUGCAUAUCUGAGGCAAUAUGCUUACAGUUUUCGGGUUUUAUGUUAUACAGGAGAAGAAAUUGAAAGAAAAUAUACAAAACUGGUGGUUGUGAUUUGGCUCUUUGUUGUGUUGGUAUUAACCUCAAGUUACGAGGCUAGCCUCACUUCAAUGCUGACUGUUCCACGCCUUGAGCCAACUGUGACUAGCAUAGAUUCGAUAAGGAAAACUAAUGCAACAGUUGGAUGCGACGGUGAUUCUUUUGUAGAAGAUUAUCUGAGGAAUAUAAUUAAACUUCAAAAUAUCAAAACCAUAAGCAGCCGAGAGAGUUAUUCGGAGGCAUUUAAGAACGGAAGUAUUGCUGCUGCAUUUCUUGAACUCCCUUAUCGGAAAAUUUUUCUCAAAGAUCACUGCAAAGAGUAUAUAGUGACCGGACCUACCUACAGUUUUGGAGGACUAGGAUUUGUAAGNNNNNNNNNNNNNNNNNNNNNNNNNNNNNNNNNNNNNNNNNNNNNNNNNNNNNNNNNNNNNNNNNNNNNNNNNNNNNNNNNNNNNNNNNNNNNNNNNNNNNNNNNNNNNNNNAAAAAAAAAAAAAGACUAAGAAAAAUUAGACAUUUUCAAGAUCCAAGCACGGGCUCAGCCAUCUCGGUGAUCUUUAGUAUUCUGUGCAAAUCUCAAGUUUGCUAUGUAAAAGUCAAGUUUGCUCGACAAAUCUCGAGUUUGUUCGAUUGCCUAAUUUCAAGUGCCAAUAAUUUUUUAUGCACAAUUUCGAAUUGCAAUCCAGUAUUUACAUUGAACUCUAAAUUCAAUUUAUCUAUUCAAUGAUAUAUUAUUUUCCACUGCGAGUUCCUCAUUUUGCAAUCCGGAACGUUUGAGAAUUAAUGCUUAUUCAUAUUGAGAGGAAAUUCAGUCGGCAAGAGCUGUAAUUUUUAUUUUGUAUUUUUCAAAAUCAUCGUCAAUGUUGCGUAAUUUGCUUUUUCUUUUCUUUUCUUUUUUUUCUUUCUUUUUUGUUUUUUUCCUCUCUUUGACAAGUUCAAGUUUGUUGAGGUUAUUGAAGUGGACCAAUAUCCACAAUUUUAUUUUUUAUUUUUGCUUACAGUUGACAUUUUCCGAUUUUAGACGUGUCAAUGUUUCUCAUUAUUCAGUAAGGAGAAUCUUCUCCUUCACUUUCAUUUGGUCAAACGGUGACUUAGACUUGUAUACGUUAACCUUAAUAUUAUUAUCAAGAAAAUUCCAUAUGAUUAAUUUCUGAAAAUUCAGCAAUUAUACAAUUCUAUUUAAUGAUUGAUUGAAUUCUUUUUUUAAGUGUUUUCACAUACGUUUCUGUCCAUAGAAGUAGGAAUAGAAUUUUAUAAAUCAUUAUCAUUAAUCCUUUUUAACGAACUGAAGAAUACAGCAAAAAAAAAAAUGCCUUUUCAUUUAUCUAGCAGCAAAGCAGGUUCAAAAGUGCCCUGUUUUUCAUCUCUCGUUCUUGCAUCUUUUGUGUUCACUUUUUGUAUUGGGUUAGCAGUAGAAGCUGACAAUUCAGUCACAAACAUUGGAGCAAUUAUCGAUGUUGAUUCCCGAGGCGGGAAGGAACAGAAAAUGGCCAUGAUCAUGGCCGUGCAGAACUUCAACAACAAUUCAAGGAAUCACGGGCUGAAUAUUUAUUUCAAAAACACCAGCAAAGACCCUGUUCAGGCUGUUUCUACAGGUAUCUAUCUUGAUAUAUUCCCUAUAUAAAAGAGUCUUUGAAUCGGGAAGUUGCGUCAUAAAGAGACGAUACCCUCUUUAAUAUAGAAUCAGGUGUCAUAAUCGGCAUUCUUUUUCUCUUCCUUGAAACUAUGAUUUCUUAUAAUAAAUUAUCCAGCAGAAAUGAUCGAAUUCGUUUUCUUGAGUUGCAGCCAAAGAGCUGAUUGGAGGAAAUCAAGUUCAAGUUAUUAUUGGGACGCGAACAUGGGAAGAAGCAGCUUUAGCUUCAAAUGUUGGAAAGCCAGCGCAAGUGCCAGUCCUUACAUUAGCAGCAGCUUCCAGGACACAACCAACGACCCAGAAUCAAUGGCCUUUCUUGGUAGAGAUGGCUACCGAUAGCCAGGAACAGAUAAAUUGUAUUGCAGCUAUUGUCAAUUCCUACCACUGGCGAAAAGUAAUAGCAAUUCAUGAAGACAACAGUUAUUUUGCCGAUUCUGGGUUGCUUCCUAUGUUAUCGGAGGCUCUUCAAAAUGUUGGUGCAGCUAUUGAGUAUGAUCUCGUCCUUCCACCGUUCUCUUCUCUAUCUGAUCCGGAGGGGUUUGUUCGACAAGAAGCAGCGGAGUUAUUGAGGAAGCAGUCUCGGGUGUUUAUAGUUCUUCAAUCGUCCUUAGAACUGGCUACACAUUUACUCAGAGAAGCUAAGCGGAUAGGACUAAUGGGUAGAGAAUCAGUAUGGAUUCUGACAGACUCUAUUUCGGAUUUUCUGGAUUCUGUUGAACCCAAUUUUGUCUCUUCCGCACAAGGUGCUAUAGGGAUCAAGAGCUAUUAUUCAGAAAGCAACAGGCAGUUUCUAGACUUCAAAGAUCAAUUUCGGAAGAAUUUCAGACUGGAGUAUCCAGAUGAAGACAAUUGGGAUCUUGGAAUCCAUGCUUUAAAAGCAUAUGAUAGCAUUACAGCUAUAGCGGGAGCUGUGAAAGAAUUAGGUGGGAACAAUACUAGUAAUCCAAAGAUGCUGCUCAAUGAAAUUCUAUCCAGCAAUUUUACUGGACUAAGUGGUGAAAUUCGUUUCCGUAGUGGGAAAUUAAAGCAGAAAUCAAUGUUCAAGAUUAUUAACAUUGUUGGAAGGAGUUAUAAAGAGCUAGGCCUCUGGUCAUCACAAUUUAACUUCUCAGAGAACCACGUGGAGAAGAAGGGCGGUGUGGUUAUUGGUGUUGACAGUAUGGACGAAUUGCUCAGUUUGGUAAAUUGGCCAGGAGAAUUGAAUCGAGUCCCAAAAGGGUGGGAAAUGCCUACUGACGUAGCCCCCAUGAGAAUUGGAAUUCCGGGAAACAAUUCCUUCCCAGUGUUUGUAAAGGUAAAGCGUGGCCAUAAUCCAAAUGAGAAGGAAUAUGAUGGUUUUUGCAUUGACAUUUUUGAAGAGGUGAUAAAAGUAUUGGGUUAUCCCCUGCAUUAUGAAUUUGUUCCCUUCAACGGUAGCUAUAGUGAACUGGUUGAGAAUGUGGCAAAUAAGGUAAUACUUUCAUCUGAGACAUUCUUCUUUUCAAAAAAGGAUCGAUAAUAUUGCCUGUUUUUCUACUUCUUGUAUGCAUGAGAUCUAAGUUUAUUCAGUACACUUCCAUAAACAUUUCGAUUUGUAAUUAAAAAGCACAUAAUCUGCCUAAAUUCCCUGCAUUUUCUCCAGCUUGUCAACAAGAAAUAUGAAGUAUUCAGAACCUAAAUAACUAAACUUAUUUACUAAUUCUUGUUUUUUUCCACAAUGUGCAUGAAAGAGUUUUGAUGCUGCUGUGGGCGAUGUAACCAUCUUAGCCGAUCGGUCAAGAACUGUAGAAUUUACUCAACCAUUUAUGGAGUCUGGCUUGUCAAUGUUGGUUCCAACCAAAAUUGAACCACAGAUGGCAUGGAUAUUUAUGAAGCCUUUCACUAGGAAUAUGUGGACGGUUAUUCUAGCCAUUUUACUCUACACAAUGUUCGUCAUUUGGUUUAUGGAGCAUCAGUCUAAUCCAGAAUUUAAAGGGCCAUGGAAAGUUCAACUUGCAACCGCAAUGUGGUUCACAUUCUCUUCUCUAUUCUUCGCCCAUGGUAAGCAUCUUAAAUAACGAGUGAGUGUUGGGAAGUUUUCACUAAAAUUUUGUUCGUCUCACUUUUUAAUCUUUUCAUACCACACAUUCUUAGAGAUCUAACAUUCUAACAUUUAUGAACUAUUUUAUUUCAUAUCAGAGGCAAUAUAUUUACAUUUUUAGGGUUAUAUAUUUUACAGGAGAAAUUAAAAGCAACUAUACUAAAAUGGUGGUUGUGGUGUGGCUCUUUGUCGUAUUGAUAUUAAUCUCGAGUUACGAGGCCAACCUAGCUUCAAUGCUGACCGUCCCACGACUUGAGCCAAGUGUGGCUGGUUUAGAUUGGAUAAUGAAAACUAAUGCUACAGUUGGAUGCGACGGUGACUCUUUUGUGGAAGACUAUCUGAGGAAUGUAAUUAGACUUCCAAAUAUCAAAACCAUAAGCAGCCAAGACCAUUAUUCGAAGGAAUUUGAGAGUGGAAAUAUUUCUGCUGCAUAUCUUGAACUUCCUUACCAGAACGUUUUUCUCAAAGAUCACUGCAAAGAGUAUAUAGUGACUGGACCUACCUACAGUUUUGGAGGACUAGGAUUUGUAAG
This 4456-nucleotide long non-coding RNA is filed under the name Olea europaea (common olive). Its description in RNAcentral is "long non-coding RNA (OEUR_LNC006376)". Lineage: Eukaryota; Viridiplantae; Streptophyta; Magnoliopsida; Lamiales; Oleaceae. The record is from RNAcentral.